Molecule: ribosomal RNA, 476 nt
Filed under: uncultured bacterium
Lineage: Bacteria
Description: bacterial SSU rRNA
Rfam family: Bacterial small subunit ribosomal RNA
Source: RNAcentral
GAUGAACGCUGGCGGCGUGCCUAACACAUGCAAGUCGAGCGGAAAUACCAAAUGUACUCGUACAGGCGGUAUUUUAGCGGCGGACGGGUGAGUAACACGUGAGCAACCUGCCUUUUGCUGGGGAAUAACAUUGGGAAACCAGUGCUAAUACCGCAUGACGUCAACGGGGGACAUCCCCUGGUGACCAAAGGAGAAAUCCGGCAGAAGAUGGGCUCGCGUCCGAUUAGUUAGUUGGCGGGGUAACGGCCCACCAAGACCGCGAUCGGUAGCCGAACUGAGAGGUUGAUCGGCCACAUUGGGACUGAGACACGGCCCAGACUCCUACGGGAGGCAGCAGGUGGGGAAUAUUGGGCAAUGGGGGAAACCCUGACCCAGCAACGCCGCGUGAAGGACGAAGGCCUUCGGGUUGUAAACUUCUUUGAUCAGGGACGAAAGCAAUGACGGUACCUGAAGAACAAGCCACGGCUAACUACGUG